Molecule: ribosomal RNA, 254 nt
Filed under: uncultured bacterium
Lineage: Bacteria
Description: partial 16S ribosomal RNA
Rfam family: Bacterial small subunit ribosomal RNA
Source: RNAcentral
UACGUAGGUGGCUAGCGUUGUCCGGAUUUACUGGGCGUAAAGAGCGCGCAGGCGGUCGUUCAAGUCGAGUGUGAAAGCCCCCCGGCUCAACUGGGGAGGGUCACUCGAUACUGAUCGACUCGAAGGCAGGAGAGGGAAGCGGAAUUCCCGGUGUAGUGGUGAAAUGCGUAGAUAUCAGGAGGAACACCGGUGGCGAAGGCGGAUCUCUGGGCCAUUACUGACGCUGAGGAGCGAAAGCGUGGGGAGCGAACAGG